UGCAGUUGUGACAACAAUCUAUAGAGUUUGUUUAAAGCAAGGUUGUCUGUAGUCAGUGUUUAUAUAAUGUUUAAUAACUUUAAUAUACUUGUAUAAAUAAACCUAUGUAUGUUUUUGAUUCAACAGCUUCCCCCGGAAAUCCUCAGUGAAGUUAUUUUGUCAGCGGGUGACUCUGCAUAUUUGACACUUUCUCUGGUUUGCAGAUGGGUUAGGGAUGUGGUCACUCAAGAAGUUUUCCGGAAAGCGGCACACUUUGCCUGGCUAGACAUUGUGGCCAACUGGAAGAACUGUCCUCCUGUCUACCAGAACGAGUUCAGAUGGAUGUACAGCAUCAGGGAAUGCUUGCAGUGCAGAGCCCUUUUCAAGUUUAACCCACCAGGGUACAGGGAAGAGGCCGGCGUGGUGAUCUUCUGGGCUGUUGUUUACACAGGAUUUUGUUCCAAGGACUGUUUUUUUUUUUUUUUUUUUUUUUUUGCGGCAUGAAACACAUUUGUGUGUUCAUUGAAGGGAAAUAGAGAAUGAACUGAGAUCAACUGGAUUUGAUGUAUUAAUUGAUGUCAUUUAAAGUUAAACUUUGCAGUGUAUAAUGUUUUAAUAAAAAAGCUAUGGCAAACA
Long non-coding RNA from Carassius carassius (crucian carp), 615 nucleotides. RefSeq lists it as uncharacterized. The record is from RefSeq and is a predicted model, not a curated record. Lineage: Eukaryota; Metazoa; Chordata; Actinopteri; Cypriniformes; Cyprinidae. The transcript is spliced from 2 exons.